CUCAGCAUCCAUUUUACCUAUUCAGAUGUCAUUUGGCCCUGGACUGGUUAUCUUGCACUGCACAUGCAAAUCAAAGAAGAAGGAGCUCAGUUUUCAGGGGUAAUUGAAGGUAAUGUGACUGUCAAGAUCCACAGCCCACCUGCUCUGGGUGAAAAGAGUCGUCGAAGUAGUACCUGUGUCCUUCAAUUGAAAUUAAAAGUGGUUCCUACUCCACCAAGAUCUGUGCGGAUAUUGUGGGAUCAAUUUCACAGUAUCAAAUAUCCUCCUGCGUGACUGUCAAGAUCCACAGCCCACCUGCUUUAGGUGAAAAGAGUCGUCGAAGUAGUACAUGUGUCCUUCAAUUGAAAUUAAAAGUGGUUCCUACUCCACCAAGAUCUGUGCGGAUAUUGUGGGAUCAAUUUCACAGUAUCAAAUAUCCUGCUGGUUAUAUUCC
This 433-nucleotide long non-coding RNA is filed under the name Nicotiana benthamiana. RNAcentral describes it as "long non-coding RNA (NBEN_LNC003541)". The record is from RNAcentral. Lineage: Eukaryota; Viridiplantae; Streptophyta; Magnoliopsida; Solanales; Solanaceae.